UACGUAGGGACCGAGCGUUGUCCGGAUUCAUUGGGCGUAAAGAGCUCGUAGGCGGUGUGUCGCGUCGGCCGUGAAAACCUGCAGCUUAACUGUGGGCUUGCGGUCGAUACGGGCAUCACUGGAGUUCGGCAGGGGAGAGUGGAAUUCCCGGUGUAGCGGUGAAAUGCGCAGAUAUCGGGAAGAACACCUAUGGCGAAGGCAGCUCUCUGGGACGGUACUGACGCUGAGACGCGAAAGCGUGGGGAGCAAACAGG
This 254-nucleotide ribosomal RNA is filed under the name uncultured bacterium. RNAcentral describes it as "partial 16S ribosomal RNA". It matches the Rfam family "Bacterial small subunit ribosomal RNA", at positions 524 to 776 of the family's 1533-position model. The record is from RNAcentral.